ACUCUAGACAACGGAUGUCUUGGCUCCUCACACGAUGAAGAACGUUGCAUAAUGUGAUAAGUAACUGGAGUUGCGAACAUUGUGACAAGUUAAUCUUUGAAUGCACAUUGCACUUUUCUUUGUCUCUCGGGAUAAAGUAAGUAUGUAUAUUAUAGUACAUAAAAAACAAAAAUUAAAUUAUUUAUAAGUCUUCUUUUUUCUUUUGAAUAAAAAUAAAAAAGAAAGUAUUUUUUUAAAAAAUAAUUAUAAAAAACAAAAAAAAUUUCAUGUCUAUAAUAUACAGGAAAACCCGCUGAACUGAAGCAUCUCAUUAAGCGGAGGAAAAGAAACUAACUAGGAUUCCCUCAGUAAAGGCGAUCGAAGAGGGAUCAGCUCGAUGUCUUAAUCCGGUCUUCACAGAUUGGAGAUGUAGACUGCGUGUCUUUGCCGAAGUAACUAAAACAAUCGAAUUAUUGUUUGCGAAUCAGAGUGAAAGCCUCGUUUCACGCUUUGGCAAGUGUAUGGCCCGCAGGAGAGAGUCGGAUACCUUGGGAGUGGUGUCUUAAUCAGGUGGUAUGCCCCAUCUAAGGCUAAAUAUUGUGAGGAGACCGAUAGUUUACAAGUAGUGUGAACGAAAGAUGAAAAGGACUCCAAGAAGGAUUUCUGUGAAAAGCGCCUGAACUUGCUUAGGNUAAGGCUAAUCUCUUUAGCGCCCGUCUUGAAACACGGAUUAGGGAGUUUAUCUGUAGUGCGAGUCUUUGCUCGUUAACAGUAAAGGCGAAAAGAAAAUAACUGGCAUUUAUGCAUGGCUAUUGAGCAUUACUGAUAGAACCCGAAUGGUGGUGAACUUUGCCUGCACAAGACGAAGUCAGGGGAAACUCUGAUGGAGGUCUGUAGAGGUAUUGAUGUGCAAAUCAUUUUUCAGAUGUGGGUAUAGGUGCGAAAGACUCAUCGAACCUCCUAAUAGCUGGUUUCCUCCGAAGUUUCCCUAAGGAUAGCCGUAAUUGCAAAUAAGUUAAGGGGAGUAGAGAUAUGGGUAGAGGUAUUAGGGAGGCUUCGGUCUCUCAACUUAUUUCCAAACUUCGAACCUUCUUGAACUAGUGACUUACCUAAUCGGAAGUCCACUAAGUGAAUUAGCGUUACGCGUGGGCUCGAACCGGUAAGCGGUUCUGGCGAAAUGGGAUGAACCAUACGCUAGAAUAAGGUGCCUAAGUAUACUAUCAUUGAUACCAUUAAGAGAGUCCUUGUAUUUAGACAGCAGGUCGGUGCCCCUAAAAGCAGGCGAUCCGUUAACGAGUGUGUUAAAACUCCCCUGCCGAAUACUCGGGCCUCGAAAAUGAAUGGCGCAUAUAGUAUCACCGAUACCUAGCAUUAGCUUUAUUUUCAUAAGCUAAGAGUAGGGGGAUGUGGACAUUUUAGCGAAGGCUUUAUGUGAAUAAAGCUGGAAGAGUGUCUAUUACAGAUCCUAAUUGAAGUAGCGAUUAUCCAGGCUAGUAUCCUGGGGGCUGAUGAGGAGUAGGGUUUCUGGGCAACUUAAAAAGACCCAGAGUUAGUCGAUCCUAAUCUCAAUAAAAUUCACAUUUUUGAGAGAAAGGGAGUACAGUUGAUAUUCUGUAACUGACAAAGAGUUCGCGGCAACGCCUGCUAUUUUUCUCCGCCAAUUCAGUACCGUUUGGUAGGGAUCUCUUUCCUACAUGACAGUAUAAUUUUUCAAAUGCCCAGGGAAUCUGAUCAACAGGCGAACUGCGGUAUUUUACUGGCAAAAUGACGCUCCGGUGUCAUCAUUGGCUACUGGAUUUGGUCCUUGAAGUGAAAAAUAGUUUGCUCUGUCACUCGUACCGAUAACCGCAUCAGGUCUUCUAGGUGAGUAGCCUAUGGCCAUUGAGGUAUGAUAGUUCAGGGAAUUCGGCCAAUUAGAGCUGUAACUUCGGGAUAAAGCUUGGCUCUGAUGAAAAUCAGAACCGAUUGUUACGCGGAGAGCCCAACUGUUUAAUAAAAACGUAGUGUCGCGCUGUGCUCAUAUAAGCAGUGAACGCGACAUGAAUCCUGCUCAGUGCUGUGUUAGUUAAAGUGGUUUACGCCAACGAAGCACCGGUAAAUAGCUGGGGUAACUAUGACUCUUAUCAAAGUAGCGAAAUACCUCGUCACUUAAUUAGUGACCUGCAUGAACGGAGCUAUGAGGUUCUCACUGUCCCAAACUAUCUCUCAGCGAACCAACAGUUGUGGGAACGGGCACAAAAUAUCCAGCGGGGAAAGAAGACCCUGUAGAGCUUCACUUUGGUCUGGUCUUGUAUGGUUUCGGUGGGGGUGUAGUCUAGGUGGGAGAGCAAUCGAAUAUGAAAAACCACUACCCUAUCAGGAAUUAUGCUUACCUUAAUCGGAAUAGGAUCAGAUAGAAAGUUUGGCUGGGGCGGCACACCUUCGAAAAUGCAGCGAAGGUGUCCUAAGUUGAGCUCAGUGAGGACAGAAAUCUCACGUUGAGGAUAAGGCCAAAAGCUCAAUUUACUGUGUCUUUUUGUACUAGAAUCAGUUUGGAAACAAAGGCCUAACGAUCCCUAAUUAGUGUCAAGGCGUGACACUUGGGGUGACAGACAAGUUACCUCCGGGACAACUGGCUUGUGGCUGCUAAGAGAUCAAAUCAACGCAGCUUUUUGAUUCUUCGAUGUCGGCUCUUCCUAUCCUAGUGAUGCAUAAGUCACUAAGGGUUGGAUUGUUCACCCGUAUUAGGGAUCGUGAGCUGGGUUUAGACCGUCGUGAGCCAGGUUUGUUUUAUCCUACUGGAUAUUCCAUCAUGAUAGUAGUUUGAUUUAGUACGAGAGGAACUGUUGAAUAUAGCCUCUGGUUUAGGAAUUUUGGGAAACCAAAGGUUCCGCAGCUACGCUAUCUGGGAUAAUGGCUGAAGGCCUCUUAAGCCAGAAACUCAUCUAAAAAUUGAUGGUUCUGUCCAAUUUCCUGAUUAGAAUAGCUUUGCUUGG
RNAcentral lists this ribosomal RNA (2954 nucleotides) under Mastotermes darwiniensis (giant northern termite). RNAcentral's name for it is "eukaryotic LSU rRNA". It matches the Rfam family "Eukaryotic large subunit ribosomal RNA". The record is from RNAcentral. Lineage: Eukaryota; Metazoa; Arthropoda; Insecta; Blattodea; Mastotermitidae.